UACCAAAAGAAUAUUAAUUCAUAUAUAACUCUUAAAACUACCGCACUUUAAUCUGCCAUUUUGGU
Molecule: transfer RNA, 65 nt
Filed under: Achelia bituberculata
Lineage: Eukaryota; Metazoa; Arthropoda; Pycnogonida; Pantopoda; Ammotheidae
Description: tRNA-Leu
Source: RNAcentral